Molecule: non-coding RNA, 79 nt
Organism: Podarcis lilfordi (Lilford's wall lizard)
Lineage: Eukaryota; Metazoa; Chordata; Lepidosauria; Squamata; Lacertidae
Source: the annotation of a GenBank genome assembly
AGUCAUGUAGCUCAGUUGGUAGAGAAUUAAACUCUUAACCUCAAGGUCUUGGGUUUGAGUCCCAUGAGUCCCAUGUUGG